This is an RNA transcript of Juglans regia (Persian walnut), 1350 nucleotides long. It is a transcript of the gene named UDP-N-acetylglucosamine transferase subunit ALG14, with no coding region annotated. The transcript is spliced from 6 exons. Lineage: Eukaryota; Viridiplantae; Streptophyta; Magnoliopsida; Fagales; Juglandaceae. The record is from RefSeq and is a predicted model, not a curated record.
UUUUCUGGAAGAAGAAAAAAUAUUAAACCGGUUCACAAUCACACACCACAUUCUCUACGUGGCAAAACCGGUUCACUAACAAGUGAACCGGUUUUGCCCUAAACCCCCACUCACGCCCCGACCCUCCCCCGACCCUCUCUUCAGAAGGUCAUCUUCCCCCUCUUCUCUUCAGCGGCGAGACCUUCAUCUCCCCAUCAGCCGGUUCUUCAUCUGGUCUGAGUCCACCUUCCCUCUUCUGCAGCGUGCUUCAUCCCUCUCGACCACCCCGCAUCCAGAGAUCUGCGGAAGAGAACAGAAGUCCAGAGCUGCGGCCACAGAGGACUUUUCCUCACUCAGAAUUCUUCUUUAUUCAGAAAUGGAGAAGGGCAAUGGAGAAGUUUCUAUUACUUUCGCCAUCGUUAGCCUCACCUUGAUGCUGUUUCGUGUCCUGUAUGUUAUAUACUGGAGUGGCAAACCUCUUCGAACAGAAGCUCCAGGAGCUCUCAGUACCCUCAUUAUUUUAGGUUCAGGGGGUCACACGGCUGAGAUGAUUAAUCUGUUGUUGGUGCUGCAAAAAGAGAGGUUCAGUCCUAGAUUCUACAUUGCUGCUGCUACUGAUAAUAUGAGCCUCCAAAAAGCUCGCACGCUGGAGAACAACUUGGUUGAUGAGGUUUGUCAACAAAAGUUUCUUUUUUGAAAUGGUUUCUACUGCAGAAUGGGGUCAAGGAGGUUCAAACUGCUCGGUUCAUGCAGAUCUAUCGAAGUAGGGAAGUUGGUCAAUCAUAUUUCACCUCUGUGUGGACAACUUUAGUUGCUAUGGCUCAUGCACUCUGGUUAAUGACUAAAAUUAGACCCCAAGUGAUUCUCUGCAAUGGGCCAGGGACUUGUGUUCCACUAUGUGCUAUUGCGUUCUUUUUCAAGGUUGUGGGGGUUAGAUGGUCAUCUGUUUUCUACGUCGAGAGUAUAGCAAGAGUGAGAAGGCUCUCAUUAAGUGGCUUGCUUCUUUACAAGUUAAGAAUAGCUGAUCAGUUCUUUGUGCAGUGGCCACAACUGCAGAGACAAUAUCCACGAGCUCACUAUGUUGGUUGUCUCAUGUAGUUUAUCUAAUGCAGCUGUCAACAUUGGUAUUAUCUCUUCAACCUCCAAGUUUUGCAAUGCAGUCAAGAUUGUCGAAGUUUAUCUAUAGCCUAUCUAUGUUCUCUUUGCCCAACUAGAGUUGCUCACUAGAUGUGUAUGGUAAUGUGAACUUUAAUUGUUUCGUGAAUUGAAGCCAUGAGGAAGAGGGAUAACUACUUUUCUGCUGUACGUUUGAUAACCCAGAGUGCAAAAAAUUUAUGAUUUCAGUUUUAAUCUCUAUCAUUUUGAAAAGAA